UACGUAGGGCGCAAGCGUUGUCCGGAAUUAUUGGGCGUAAAGAGCUCGUAGGCGGCUUGUCACGUCGGGUGUGAAAGCCCGGGGCUUAACCCCGGGUCUGCAUUCGAUACGGGCUAGCUAGAGUGUGGUAGGGGAGAUCGGAAUUCCCGGUGUAGCGGUGAAAUGCGCAGAUAUCGGGAAGAACACCCGUGGCGAAAGCGGCUCUCUGGAACGGUACUGACGCUGAGACGCGAAAGCGUGGGGAGCGAACAGG
Molecule: ribosomal RNA, 253 nt
Filed under: uncultured bacterium
Lineage: Bacteria
Description: partial 16S ribosomal RNA
Rfam family: Bacterial small subunit ribosomal RNA
Source: RNAcentral